AAAUUGGAAAGGGCUUGAGAUCACAAUGAUGCUGAACUUGAAUCCAGUUCUUCUUUCUCUGGGAAAAGAUGGUUGUAACUCGAGUAAUCAUGUGCCUUUGGUAUAUCCAAAGAAAAAGACUGAAACAAGCUACCACUGACCAAGAAACGUAGCACUCGCAUAGAAGCCCCAAUAUAUCCACAGGAGGAGGAUCUUGAAUAAACCAGACGCUCUUGAUUUAACGGUAGGUAAAUGUUUUAGCAAUAAUUAUUUUAAAAGCCACAAUAAUUGCCACCGAAAGUUACUUUUGGUUUAGUGGUGGAUAUUGUUUACGUGUACGAGCGAUGAACUUAAACAAUGA
RNAcentral lists this small RNA (340 nucleotides) under Vigna angularis var. angularis. RNAcentral's name for it is "Non-protein coding transcript". Lineage: Eukaryota; Viridiplantae; Streptophyta; Magnoliopsida; Fabales; Fabaceae. The record is from RNAcentral.